UAGAAAGUUUGAGACAAUCAAAGAAAGAGAAAAAAAGAAGAAGAACAGAAGUCCUCAGAAAAUGUAGAUGAGAGCGGAAAUGUAAGACAAUCGAAGAGCAGGAAAAAAGAACAAGAACAGGUGAAGUUGACUAUCAAGUUAAACAUGUUAAAUACUUUAACCGAGACUCUUGUCGAUAAAGAAUCAACGAAAAAGGCUGUAUGCCGAAAAAUGAAAGUGAUAUCUGCCCCAAAAAAGGGUGACAUUGAAAAAAC
Long non-coding RNA from Mytilus trossulus (common blue mussel), 254 nucleotides. RefSeq lists it as uncharacterized. The transcript has 4 exons. The record is from RefSeq and is a predicted model, not a curated record. NCBI's taxonomy places the organism in Eukaryota, Metazoa, Mollusca, Bivalvia, Mytilida, Mytilidae.